UUGAGCAGAUUUUUAUUUAACUGACAGCACAAUAAUUGGCACGCCUAUAAAUAGAAAAUUGAAUACUUCCUUUCAUGAACAAAUCCUGUUAAAUAUGUGGACUAUCACCUUCUUCAAAUAACACCUGAUUCAAAUUUACUUUCAACAAUUGAAUAAUCUAAUCGAUGAAAAAUUCGUAUCCACAUAGUGACAUACAUUCGUAUACAUAUAUCCUUAAAAGAUUUAAGAAAUAUAUGAUAAUACUGAACCUUAUCGUUGAACCUUUUAACAAACAAACAAAAAUGGCAUGCUAACAUCGCGCUGUCAUGAUAUAAUACUGAUUGUGCAGGUACAUAUAAAAUAUUUUAAAAAAAGAUUAAAAAAAAAAAACAAUAACAAUUACAAGUGUCGGACAUUCGACAAAAAUAAUAUAAUACUUUGAUUUCAACACACAGUUCAACUUCAUACUGAGUCAGUAAAAAGUGACGAAAAAAAAAUAACUAUCACAGAUGGAAUUUUCAAAACAUUAUCAUAAUAAUAUUAUCAACAACGACAAACAUGAGAAAAAUUUAAUGGACUUUAACCUUAAAAAUGAGGAAUCAUUAAAAUCAUUUCUUAUAUGUAAUUGUGAAUUUUUCUCAUAAUGUGCUCAAACGAAUGAAAAAUGUAAGUGGCAUACCAUACAUUCAUUGGUGUGAUCAUGAAAGUUUAACAUUGACUUUUCACUUCCAUUGUGA
RNAcentral lists this long non-coding RNA (716 nucleotides) under Mytilus galloprovincialis (Mediterranean mussel). Lineage: Eukaryota; Metazoa; Mollusca; Bivalvia; Mytilida; Mytilidae. The record is from RNAcentral.